AGAGGGCUGCGAAGCCGCGAGGUGGAGCGAAUCCCAGAAAACCUGUCUCAGUCCGGAUUGAAGUCUGCAACUCGACUUCAUGAAGGCGGAAUCGCUAGUAACCGCGAAUCAGCAGGUCGCGGUGAAUACCGGUUCCCGGGCCUU
This 144-nucleotide ribosomal RNA is filed under the name uncultured Latescibacterota bacterium. RNAcentral describes it as "uncultured Latescibacteria bacterium partial 16S ribosomal RNA". It matches the Rfam family "Bacterial small subunit ribosomal RNA", at positions 1241 to 1382 of the family's 1533-position model. Lineage: Bacteria; Pseudomonadati; Candidatus Latescibacterota. The record is from RNAcentral.